Molecule: long non-coding RNA, 3254 nt
Filed under: Triticum aestivum (bread wheat)
Lineage: Eukaryota; Viridiplantae; Streptophyta; Magnoliopsida; Poales; Poaceae
Description: long non-coding RNA (TAES_LNC023736)
Source: RNAcentral
CCUCAUAGGCACAGGCACUUUAUGUUAAAAUGGACCAUUCCAGGCACAAAUACUAAUUUGUUUAGUACAUGUCAAAGUGGAACAUCCCAGACAUAACAAAAGAAGACAUUCAUAUCAAGUUAUAAAUACCAUCACAGGAUCAACAAGCCUUGCUAGUGAAAAUUGCAUCAGCUUUGGUACAUAACGGGCAAGGCUAAGUCUGAAGGAGUAUAAUAAUCAUCGCUCAACAAGAAUUGCCAUUAAAAAUUGCAUCGACGUUGAUAUCUUGAUGGCACACGACAGUUGCCUCUAGAUGCAAUGCUUCUUGUUCAUCAAGCUUCUUGUCCUGGGAGAGAUCGGACGGAGCAAAUAUGAUUCAGUUAGUGCAAGUCCGUGUAUGUGUCGUACAUUCAUACUUAAAACUUUUUAAUCAUGGGCUGGUCAAAUGCAUUAACAACACCACCUGACAGUGUUUCAUGCACAUACCACACGGAAGGAAAAAUGGAGAAGAAAUCGCAUUCAUCACAAAUACAAAAGUAUGUUUCUAUGCUGGAAUUCACAGACAAGCCAACUAUUUUGUGGAUAAUCCUAACUUACCAAUAAUGAACAAAUUAUAUAAACAUUAUUUAUCUUGUAUAGGAAAAACCACUCUAGUGCAUUCUAGAGAUUCGCCACAACCGGCAGAAUUAGGCAAUAUAAUUAUUUAAUUGUGCUAUUAGAAAUCCAUCCUUUAUAAAACCUUGGCACUUUCAAAUAGCCUAUUGUAUGUACAAAUAAGAAAAGAGCAUAUCGUACGAUAAAAUGAUGUGUUGAACCCUCGAAGCCAUUGGACAUUUUAAUCACUCAAAACUGGUCAUGAGUUUGACAAGAACAAUAUUAGCAGAGACUCUUCCUAAUAUAACCAGUGAACCAUGUACCAAGUAUAAUAAUAGACACAUCACAAUGUCUAUUCCUGACAUUGUGAAGCAUUAACAAAUAUGUAUGUUUUUCUACACUUACCAUAACAUCAUCACUAUAGUUCUUUUUACUGAAAAGAGCUCAAUAGUUUUUAUUUGGGUACUCCGCUAGGUCAUCUUGUAUGAAAAAUAUCUUGCAAGAUUAUUUGCAAACACACUAGCUUGCAAAAGAAUUGAUCUGGUGCCUUGACAAAAUUUUAACAUGGCUUACAGAUCCACUCAGAAUGACCGCCUGAACAUCCAUGUAUAGACCUAAGAUCAGCAGACAGGGUUGUACAUUCACAUGUGCAACCUGUGGAGCUGCACAGGGCCCCCAUUUUUUCUACGUACAACUUUAGGAAUUAAAGACUAAUGGACCAGUAGACAUCAAAGUAAAAAUGGACUAAGCGGCUGGCUGCUAGACUCCAAGUCAACCACGGAACCACUCCAGGCCCAACUCCCGCCUCCUGCACCUUCUCAAGAAUAAAAAACAUUCACUGGAGCUCCUUAUGGCCUGCCUAAGACUAAUUCUAAGAAAAUUGUACAACUGUACUAGUGAUUACCUUUAUUUCACGAAUGUACUAGGGUUAUACCUUAAUAAAAAAUGUUAUAGGCUUUGUACACAUGGGUCUAAAUUUUGAUUUCGCAAUGGGCCCCGUGUUUAGGAGGUACGGCCCUGUCAGCAGACUACAGGUUUCAACAAUUAUCUAAAAAGCAUAACUUCAUAAGUAGCAACGACGACAAACAAGAAAGGGGUUUUUUUGACUAUCCUACUGAUGCAGAUUAGUGAUGGCAUGCAUUAUAUUAUACCUCGUAAUAACAAGAAAACUACAACAUCUUGAGAGAUAUAAGUGAACAAGAAAAGAGAAAGGCAUGUGUCAUGGAAGAAGAAUUAAUCCUAAAUCAUGAACAUGCAUACUUGCUUUAGUGAUAACAAAGAGGUCAGUCAAAUUGCAAGGCCAAUGGUUUGGCAUGGACAUGACACAUGAUAAGGGUGUAUACUUUCCUACGAAACACGAAUGAAGUCAUGGAAUUUAACAUUGACAGACAUAAGAUACUAAAGUACAUAAAUUUUGAAAGUGUGUGUACCUCUUGAGAGAAUGACUGUUUCUUUUUCGGUGUACUGGAAUCAUCAAUGAGAAGCAUUGAGGAAUUAAUGUUUAUUUUGAGCACUGUCGACAAAUUCCAUGGCUGCAAACAAUUUUUUAGCAAACAACAUCGCACAUAGGAUUAACAGAAUGUCAGGUGCAUCAACAUAUUCUUUACUUUCUUAGACCGAUGUUCUCACCUGAUAGUGUUGGUCCACAUGCUGAGAUAAUUGGAACUAUCAGCUUUACUAAAGGCAACGUCGCACUGCUCCCCUCCAUCACUGGAUCUUGACAUGAAAGUUACAAAGUCAGAAGUGAGAUCAUUGCUUCUAGGCCAGACGUUAGGGAGAAAUUAUGUAGUUUAAACUUUAGUUCCUACUCUACUCCGAUGCCUACCAUCGGAGGAAUACAUCAGUGUGAGAACAUAUAUUUCCGUAAGCAUAACGCCCGAGGAACAAUGUGGACCCAAAGAACACAGGAAAUCAAAUGUCUUCCCUGUGUGACAGUCAUAAUCUCUAUAAAUCCACUGUCCAAAAAUACAGCGGCCUCACACAUGCUUCAGAACCAAAAUACGGACUAACCAGGCUUACAUAUGCUUCAGAAUCAAGACACACAAAAGAGAGGUAUUCAGUAAUAAAGGAGAUGCGUCCAAAAUAUGCCGAAACAAUGGUACAAAAACAGUAGCACAUACAACGAAUUUUUUCCCAUGACACCAGAAUGAUGCUCAUUACCUCAAACUUGAUCUGGUUUGGCAUCUAAAUUUCGUCUACAGCUUUAUCGCAAAAAAAUGGCUACAGCUCCAAAUUGAUCUGCAAUAUAUAUAGGGAAAAUGAGACAAGAUUUCGUGCAUCCAGGAAAGGGAUUGGAGCUUGAGAGGUGGCUCGGUUUGCGGGAAUUUCAUGAGAGAACAAGCAAGGGGGUAGAAGAGGGGCCAUCCGAGGGAGAACAGAUGCACCACACAAGAAAGAGAAUGGCGAGGGGCAAGGGGAGUGAGGAAUUUCUGCAAGGAAGUCAGCCGUGUGGUGGCUCUGCACUCUGUGAAGGAGGGAGGGGGAAGAAAGCUUGAGGACUGGUGGAACUCACCACCAUUGCCAUGGUUACGUCGCCGUUGCAAGGGGGUUCGCGGUCGGGCGGGCGGCGUGCUGUAUCAGCGGCUACUGUCUAAGGAGUAGAUCCUCUAGGAGCUCGCCAAUCAUCGUCGGCGGGCGGCGGCAUCGGCCUGGUGCGGCGGAGGGAUAGGGUUGGAAGGGGC